GUUUGUUUAAAACACUCACUAUGAGCACAUCAGACAUGAGGCAUCUGAAGAAGUGACGGGUAGGUAUGGACUUUAUUGCUCCAAUAAAUUAUGUCACCAUUCAUUACUGUGUUUUCAUGGGUGAGGAUGGGUGACGAAGGAAGGACCUUUCGGUCUGCCCAAGCUCUCCACCAUGUAGUGAGCCUUUCUCAAUUAAAUCGGGCUUACUCACACCUCUUCAGCCACUUCCUUCUUGCUUUUCAGACCAGAUCUUCCCCAUUUAUUCUGAAAAUAUUUAUUGAGCAGCUGCAACAUCCCCUUCUCCACGACCACUUUUGCAAGGGAUGAGAGUAGAAGAUGCAGGGGGUGGAAAAGGGCUUUUCUGAGCUGCCUGCUCUCAUGGCUUAGUUCACUGCUGUCUAAUAGAACUGUCUGAGAUGAUGGAAGUGUUCUCCAAAAUCCGUGCUGUCCAGUAUGGACAAACUGAAGUGCCUUGGACCACUUGUUAUAGAAGGUGUGGUUGGGAUCCCUGUGCCAGUGCAUAAUGAAUUUAAGGAAGCAAUACAGUCCUGGGGGGCUCACAGCAGACACUCCAGAACUCAGUCCUCUCCACUCUCUUUAAAGCUUCAGUCUCUUAAUCAGUAAAGAACUGAAUCGAGGAUGAAAGGACAUAGCGUGUUUAGGCCUUGACCCAGGGCCUGGCCCACUGUAGAUGGCCAACUGGGGUAUUCCCUUCCCCUCUGCUCUGCUGUCUGGGUUCUCAGGACUCCUACAUGCUUCAGACAAGUAAAAGUUUCCACCAUGAGGAGGCGGGACUCAGGGAGCAGAGCCUAUGCUUCAGGUUGGAAGGACUGAACUCAGAGCUUCUGGGAGGGGCAGGCUGAAGAGGCCACCUCCUCCUUCAAAGGCUUCCAGAGCCUCAGACUCUGAUUCACCCAGGUGAGUUGCAUAACUUGAUGGACGCCACAAAUCAUAUCACUCCCACCGUGGGGAUUUCCAAGGGUGGGAAUUUGCCUCUCCCACUACAGCCUACCUGGACAGGUGUUGGAACAUAAUAGGUAUUCAGUGAAUAACGGUGGGUGGGUUGAUCACCCAAAGUCAUGUAGUUUGAAUGGCAGCCAGGAGCUAUGAGUUUUAGAUACCACCCCCCACCCUGCCCCCAGCUCUGUUCCAGGAAAACGCAAGGACUUUGGGGUCGCAAGUUAGGGCUGGACCCUCAGCUUUGCUGUUGCCUGGCUCUGUGAUCUUCGCAAGUGCUGACUCUGUUUGUUGUCUUUAUUUCCCUGGUGCCCUCCAAUUCUGGGACCUGAAUAUGUAUGGCCUGCUUUUGCUGGGCAGGUCCUGAGGCUGGCAUAGGCGUUAAGGACACACUUCUCCUCAGGCUGGGGUUUGUUCUCCCAAACCCCCGCCUCCUCUCCACACAGCGGAGCUUGCAGCUGGCUUCCUGUGGCUCCAACAACAGGCGGGCGGCGUUCUCCUUCCCUUCCCUGACCUCACCCAGCAAGCACUCCAGAGGCGGUCAAAACAAACAGGACUUGCGCGACCCGGCCAGGAAAUCCAGAACAAAGGAGGGCUUCUUUUAUCAGCUGUUUCCUUUUGUCAGAAGAUAAAUCGUGAGAGCAAUAACCUUAAAAAAAAAAAA
Aethalodelphis obliquidens (Pacific white-sided dolphin) is the source of this 1621-nucleotide long non-coding RNA. RefSeq lists it as uncharacterized. Lineage: Eukaryota; Metazoa; Chordata; Mammalia; Artiodactyla; Delphinidae. The transcript has 4 exons. The record is from RefSeq and is a predicted model, not a curated record.